This 1360-nucleotide ribosomal RNA is filed under the name uncultured bacterium. RNAcentral describes it as "bacterial SSU rRNA". It matches the Rfam family "Bacterial small subunit ribosomal RNA". The record is from RNAcentral.
AGAGUUUGAUCCUGGCUCAGGACGAACUCUGGCGGCGUGCCUAACACAUGCAAGUCGAACGGGUCUAAAGAGCUUGCUUUUUAGAUUAGUGGCGGACGGGUGAGUAACGCGUAAGAAGCUGUCCGAUGCAGGGGGACAACAGACGGAAACAUCUGCUAAUACCCCAUAAGCCUAAGGGUAAAAGAGAUAUCGGCAUCGGAGGUGCUUGCGUCCUAUCAGCUAGUAGGGGCGGUAAAAGCGCACCUAGGCGAAGACGGGUAGCCGGACUGAGAGGUUGACCGGCCACAUUGGAACUGAGACACGGUCCAGACUCCUACGGGAGGCAGCAGUGGGGAAUAUUGGACAAUGGGGGGAACCCUGACCCAGCGACGCCGCGUGAGUGAAGAAAUCCCUCGGGAUGUAAAGCUCUGUUGUAUGGGACGAGAGAGAGACGGUACCAUACGAGGAAGCCCCGGCAAACUACGUGCCAGCAGCCGCGGUAAUACGUAGGGGGCGAGCGUUGUCCGGAAUUACUGGGCGUAAAGCGCACGCAGGCUGAUUGUUAAGUCAGAUGUAAAAUAGUGAGGCUCAACUUCAUUAUGCGUCUGAUACUGGCAGUCUAGAGUAUGUGAGAGGGAAGCGGAAUUCCUGGUGUAGCGGUGAAAUGCGUAGAUAUCAGGAGGAACACCGGUGGCGAAGGCGGCUUCCUGGCACAAGACUGACGCUCAUGUGCGAAAGCCAGGGCAGCGAACGGGAUUAGGUACCCCGGUAGUCCUGGCCGUAAACGAUGGAUACUAGGUGUGGGUGUCGGAGGGCAUCCGUGCCGGAGUUAACGCGAUAAGUAUCCCGCCUGGGAACUACGGCCGCAAGGCUGAAACUCAAAGGAAUUGACGGGGGCCCGCACAAGCGGUGGAGCACGUGGUUUAAUUCGAUGCAAACCGAAGAACCUUACCUGGAUUUGACAUACAUGUGGUAGUGAAGUGAAAGUGGAACGACCUUAGCUUGCUAAGGAGCAUGAACAGGUGCUGCAUGGUUGUCGUCAGCUCGUGUCGUGAGAUGUUGGGUUAAGUCCCGCAACGAGCGCAGCCCUUACGGUCAGUUGCUACAUUAAGUUGAGCACUCUGGCUGGACUGCCGUUGACAAAACGGAGGAAGGUGGGGAUGACGUCAAAUCAUCAUGCCCCUUACGUUCUGGGCUACACACGUACUACAAUGGCGCAAACAAAGGGGAGCGAAACCGCGAGGUGGAGCAAAUCUCAAAAAAGGCGUCCCAGUUCAGACUGCAGGCUGCAACUCGCCUGCACGAAGUUGGAAUUGCUAGUAAUCGCGGAUCAGCAUGCCGCGGUGAAUACGUUCCCGGGCUUUGCACACACCGCCCGUCA